UACGUAGGCAGCAAGCGUUGUUCGGAAUUACUGGGCGUAAAGAGUGUGUAGGCGGUGCUCUAAGUUCGGUGUGAAAUCUCCCGGCUUAACUGGGAGGGUGCGCCGGAAACUGGAGUGCUUGAGCGCGGGAGAGGAAAGCGGAAUUCCUGGUGUAGCGGUGAAAUGCGUAGAUAUCGUAAGGAAGACCAGUGGCGAAGGCGAGUCUCUGGACAGCAACUGACGCUGAGGCACGAAGGCCAGGGGAGCAAACGGG
RNAcentral lists this ribosomal RNA (253 nucleotides) under uncultured bacterium. Its description in RNAcentral is "partial 16S ribosomal RNA". It matches the Rfam family "Bacterial small subunit ribosomal RNA", at positions 524 to 776 of the family's 1533-position model. The record is from RNAcentral.